GGCCGAGUGACAGAGUGGUUAUGUAGAGGACUGCAAAUCCUUGUACGUCGGUUCGAUUCCGGUCUCGGCCUCCA
Molecule: transfer RNA, 74 nt
Filed under: Rhodospirillaceae bacterium
Lineage: Bacteria; Pseudomonadati; Pseudomonadota; Alphaproteobacteria; Rhodospirillales; Rhodospirillaceae
Description: tRNA-Cys
Rfam family: tRNA
About the family: Transfer RNA (tRNA) molecules are approximately 80 nucleotides in length.
Source: RNAcentral